Molecule: non-coding RNA, 71 nt
Organism: Podarcis lilfordi (Lilford's wall lizard)
Lineage: Eukaryota; Metazoa; Chordata; Lepidosauria; Squamata; Lacertidae
Source: the annotation of a GenBank genome assembly
GGGCCAUAGCUCAAUGGCAGAGCAUCUGCUUUGCAUACAGAAAGUCCUAAGUUCAAUCCCCGGGUUCUCCA